ACUCCUGCGGGAGGCAGCAGUGGGGAAUAUUGCACAAUGGGCGCAAGCCUGAUGCAGCCAUGCCGCGUGUAUGAAGAAGGCCUUCGGGUUGUAAAGUACUUUCAGCGGGGAGGAAGGCAAUACGGUUAAUAACCGUGUUGAUUGACGUUACCCGCAGAAGAAGCACCGGCUAACUCCGUGCCAGCAGCCGCGGUAAUACGGAGGGUGCAAGCGUUAAUCGGAAUUACUGGGCGUAAAGCGCACGCAGGCGGUCUGUCAAGUCGGAUGUGAAAUCCCCGGGCUCAACCUGGGAACUGCAUUCGAAACUGGCAGGCUUGAGUCUUGUAGAGGGGGGUAGAAUUCCAGGUGUAGCGGUGAAAUGCGUAGAGAUCUGGAGGAAUACCGGUGGCGAAGGCGGCCCCCUGGACAAAGACUGACGCUCAGGUGCGAAAGCGUGGGGAGCAAACAGGAUUAGAUACCCUAGUAGUCCCAUGA
RNAcentral lists this ribosomal RNA (474 nucleotides) under uncultured organism. RNAcentral describes it as "partial 16S ribosomal RNA". It matches the Rfam family "Bacterial small subunit ribosomal RNA", at positions 335 to 800 of the family's 1533-position model. The record is from RNAcentral.